RNAcentral lists this ribosomal RNA (579 nucleotides) under Pascua guehoae. RNAcentral's name for it is "partial large subunit ribosomal RNA". It matches the Rfam family "Eukaryotic large subunit ribosomal RNA", at positions 67 to 636 of the family's 3401-position model. The record is from RNAcentral. Lineage: Eukaryota; Fungi; Basidiomycota; Tremellomycetes; Trichosporonales; Trichosporonaceae.
AACAAGGAUUCCCUUAGUAACGGCGAGUGAACCGGGAAGAGCUCAAAUUUGAAAUCUGGCAGUCUUCGAUUGUCCGAGUUGUAAUCUAUAGAAGUGUUUUCCGUGCUGGACCGUGUCUAAGUCCCUUGGAACAGGGUAUCAAAGAGGGUGACAAUCCCGUGCUUGAUACGACCACCAGUGCUCUGUGAUACACUCUCUACGAGUCGAGUUGUUUGGGAAUGCAGCUCAAAAUGGGUGGUAAAUUCCAUCUAAAGCUAAAUAUUGGCGAGAGACCGAUAGCGAACAAGUACCGUGAGGGAAAGAUGAAAAGCACUUUGGAAAGAGAGUUAAACAGUACGUGAAAUUGUUGAAAGGGAAACGAUUGAAGUCAGUCGUGUUCAUUGGACUCAGCUAGUUCUUCUAGUCUACUUCCUUUGAACGGGUCAACAUCAGUUUUGUCCGGUGGAUAAAGAUAGUUUCAAUGUAGCUUCUUCGGAAGUGUUAUAGGUUUCUAUCACAUACACUGGAGGAGACUGAGGACUGCAGCUCGCCUUUUGGCCGGGGUUCGCCCACGUUCGAGCUUAGGAUGUUGACAUAAUG